This 105-nucleotide small nuclear RNA is filed under the name Spermophilus dauricus (Daurian ground squirrel). The record is from RNAcentral. Lineage: Eukaryota; Metazoa; Chordata; Mammalia; Rodentia; Sciuridae.
GUGCUCCUUUGGCAGCACAUAUACUAAAAUUGGAACAAUACAGAAAGAUUAGCAUUGGCCCCUGCACAAGAUGACACACAAAUUUGUGAAGCAUUCCAUAUUAAC